This 301-nucleotide ribosomal RNA is filed under the name uncultured bacterium. RNAcentral describes it as "partial 16S ribosomal RNA". It matches the Rfam family "Bacterial small subunit ribosomal RNA", at positions 509 to 807 of the family's 1533-position model. The record is from RNAcentral.
CAGUAGCCGCGGGAAUACAGAGGGUGCGAGCGUUAAUCGGAUUUACUGGGCGUAAAGCGUGCGUAGGCGGCUUCUUAAGUCGGAUGUGAAAUCCCUGAGCUUAACUUAGGAAUUGCAUUCGAUACUGGGAAGCUAGAGUAUGGGAGAGGAUGGUAGAAUUCCAGGUGUAGCGGUGAAAUGCGUAGAGAUCUGGAGGAAUACCGAUGGCUAAGGCAGCCAUCUGGCCUAAUACUGACGCUGAGGUACGAAAGCAUGGGGAGCAAACAGGAUUAGAUACCCCAGUAGUCCCUGUCUCUUAUAC